This 492-nucleotide ribosomal RNA is filed under the name uncultured bacterium. RNAcentral describes it as "partial 16S ribosomal RNA". It matches the Rfam family "Bacterial small subunit ribosomal RNA", at positions 29 to 507 of the family's 1533-position model. The record is from RNAcentral.
AGUGAACGCUGGCGGUAGGCCUAACACAUGCAAGUCGAACGGCAGCACAGUAAGAGCUUGCUCUUACGGGUGGCGAGUGGCGGACGGGUGAGGAAUACAUCGUAAUCUACUUUUUCGUGGGGGAUAACGUAGGGAAACUUACGCUAAUACCGCAUACGACCUACGGGGGAAAGCAGUGGAUCUUCGGGCCUUUCGCGGUUGAAUGAGCCGAUGUCGGAUUAGCUAGUUGGGGGGGUAAAGGCCCACCAAGGCGACGAUCCGUAGCUGGUCUGAGAGGAUGGUCAGCCACACUGGAACUGAGCCACGGUCCAGACUCCUAAGGGAGGCAGCAGUGGGGAAUAUUGGACAAUGGGCGCAAGCCUGAUCCAGCCAUACCGCGUGGGUGAAGAAGGCCUUCGGGUUGUAAAGCCCUUUUGUUGGGAAAGAAAAGCAGCAGGUUAAUACCCCGCUGUUCUGACGGUACCCAAAGAAUAAGCACCGGCUAACUUCGUG